UGAGAUGCUAACGGAUGGUGUGUGGGAGAGUAAUGUUUUAUGUUGGAGAAAGUGUGAAUAUCUCCAUUAUAGACAGGCUUAAUUGAUAAACAGGACAAUAAAAGCAGCAAAUGGCCCCAUAGAUUUCUGCCUACAGCACAGCCAGCAGUACUGUAGGAUGUCACUAUAUAUAAUGGGCAGUAAUGGCACUGACAAUAAUAGCAUAUUAAGUAGAGGCUUUAGAACAGUAUCAGAUAAUGUCAUCAUUGUGGAGAAAUAAAAGACUAAUAAAAUCCCUCUCAUAAAAGGGGGGUUAGGCGGCUCUUCCCUGAGGGAUCCCUCAAAUGUUUCUUUCUUCUCACACUUCUCUCACCUAAUCUCCCCCCCGCCCCACCUCCCUGUAAUUUACUCCCCCCUCCACCCUCCGUGAUAGGAAUACUGACAAUACAAGCGAUUGUCACAAAUAGCCACGUUUAAUUCUCACGCAUAAUGAGCGACAACUUCGCAGCCAUGGGGUUAAAAAAAAAAAAUGGGAAAGAGAGAAGCGGAGGAGCUGCUGCCACGCUCCCGUUUCUUGUCGUGAGGAAACAAUUCAUUAAGUGAUCGUUUUUUAAAUAGUGAUAAUAAAGUGAAGUGCCAUUUUAGACACGCCCGUUUCACAUCAGAUGGAGCACUUUUUGUAACGCAUUGAAAUCGGAAGAAAAAAAAUCUGGCCAAAGUGAGCUCACCACAAUAUCCGGAUCAGCGCUCGGUGUACGGAGAAUCCCGAGGAGUUUCCUGUGUCUUUCUUCACCCCAAGUUGAAGACAAGCGAUCGGAUUGCGGUCCCACAGUCCCGUCUCAACUGCAAAAAAAAAAAAAAAAAAAAAAGAAGGUAAGACCACACUGAGAGAAAAGCACGUCAAGCCCGGGGACGCGCACAUCCCGGGCAGGCAAUCGAAGUCAAUCCCCCCCUUUUGCAAACCCACCCACCCAAAAAGUACAUCAAUAAUUACACACGUUUAGCUCACUAAUCCGAGACUGUACCUUUUAAACGACACGGGAUGACCAGCAGAGAGUCAAAGAGACGGAAAAAAAGGAACCGGG
Long non-coding RNA from Amphiprion ocellaris (clown anemonefish), 1064 nucleotides. The record is from Ensembl. NCBI's taxonomy places the organism in Eukaryota, Metazoa, Chordata, Actinopteri, Pomacentridae.